This is a long non-coding RNA of Bos taurus (domestic cattle), 1003 nucleotides long. Lineage: Eukaryota; Metazoa; Chordata; Mammalia; Artiodactyla; Bovidae. The record is from Ensembl.
CUUUAAUUCUCUUCUGACAUCAUGGAAUUCUAUUUCUGGCGGUUUCUAUGGCUGACGCCAUUUCCUCGUUUUUAGGAACAAGGAGCGAUCAGAAGACAGGAUCAGAGAGGCCCUUGAGCAGUGCCUAGCACUUGAUUUCCAGGCCGGCAUUCUUUCUACCAGCUGUAGUUUUUGAAAAGGGGUUAGUCUCUCAUCUCGAGAGGUCCCUGAAUCAGACAGAAAGAAACUAUCACUUCCCGGGAACCCAUUGAUUUACAGUGAACCUCGUGUGGGGACUUCACAGUGGCUGAAAAGGCAAGGAGAAGAUGGAGACCCGCUCACAACACAAGGCAAAAAAGUCUGGAGCGACAGCUGCCACCUAAGGAAUCCCGAGAAGUUGCUGAUUGCUCCCGGCUUCAGUUCUUUCUGCGCUUCAGUCCCGGUGCCGCCUCCUCUGAAGCCUGGUGGGUUCUGCCCGAGGCCAGUGCCAGGGCCCCAGCGUUGAAAGAGCCCGAAGCAGGAAGGCGGAGGAGUCGCGCCGCCCAGCGGAGAACCCGCCAAAGCACAGACUCUUAGUCACCAUCAUGAAUAUUGGUCAUCACUCCUUGGCACAUUGGACUGUACAGGUGGCUCCACCGAGAUGGCCUUCCAACCACUGUCUGCGAUGGGAUCUUCCCAAUCCAGGGAUUGCACCCAUGUCUCCUACACUUGCAGACAGUCUCAUUACGGAAGCGGAUCCGGAAGAAAGUGGGCCAGGGUCUUUAGUAAGUACAGAGCUCCGUACUCGUCCCUCCUGGUUCUACCACCAAGACGGAGUGGGGAUGUUCCAGGCGUAGACCUGAUGGCAUCCCUACCUGAGGUCCAGCUCCUCACCAUUAAUCUUGCUUGCCUCUGAUGCCACCCGGGGUGCAAUCAGAGUAACCUUCCGGAAUGCCUCCCAAGCUAAGACUGCUGCGGGAAACAUUUGUCACCUGAGUGCCUGUGCAUGACCCUGAGUAUAUUCCUGACCACAAUAAAGACUGAU